RNAcentral lists this ribosomal RNA (2919 nucleotides) under Bacillus cereus D17. RNAcentral describes it as "bacterial LSU rRNA". It matches the Rfam family "Bacterial large subunit ribosomal RNA". The record is from RNAcentral. Lineage: Bacteria; Bacillati; Bacillota; Bacilli; Caryophanales; Bacillaceae.
UAAGUUAGAAAGGGCGCACGGUGGAUGCCUUGACACUAGGAGUCGAUGAAGGACGGGACUAACGCCGAUAUGCUUCGGGGAGCUGUAAGUAAGCUUUGAUCCGAAGAUUUCCGAAUGGGGAAACCCACCAUACGUAAUGGUAUGGUAUCCUUAUCUGAAUACAUAGGGUAAGGAAGACAGACCCAGGGAACUGAAACAUCUAAGUACCUGGAGGAAGAGAAAGCAAAUGCGAUUUCCUGAGUAGCGGCGAGCGAAACGGAACAUAGCCCAAACCAAGAGGCUUGCCUCUUGGGGUUGUAGGACAUUCUAUACGGAGUUACAAAGGAACGAGGUAGACGAAGCGACCUGGAAAGGUCCGUCGUAGAGGGUAACAACCCCGUAGUCGAAACUUCGUUCUCUCUUGAAUGUAUCCUGAGUACGGCGGAACACGUGAAAUUCCGUCGGAAUCUGGGAGGACCAUCUCCCAAGGCUAAAUACUCCCUAGUGAUCGAUAGUGAACCAGUACCGUGAGGGAAAGGUGAAAAGCACCCCGGAAGGGGAGUGAAAGAGAUCCUGAAACCGUGUGCCUACAAAUAGUCAGAGCCCGUUAACGGGUGAUGGCGUGCCUUUUGUAGAAUGAACCGGCGAGUUACGAUCCCGUGCGAGGUUAAGCUGAAGAGGCGGAGCCGCAGCGAAAGCGAGUCUGAAUAGGGCGUUUAGUACGUGGUCGUAGACCCGAAACCAGGUGAUCUACCCAUGUCCAGGGUGAAGUUCAGGUAACACUGAAUGGAGGCCCGAACCCACGCACGUUGAAAAGUGCGGGGAUGAGGUGUGGGUAGCGGAGAAAUUCCAAUCGAACCUGGAGAUAGCUGGUUCUCCCCGAAAUAGCUUUAGGGCUAGCCUUAAGUGUAAGAGUCUUGGAGGUAGAGCACUGAUUGGACUAGGGGUCCUCAUCGGAUUACCGAAUUCAGUCAAACUCCGAAUGCCAAUGACUUAUCCUUAGGAGUCAGACUGCGAGUGAUAAGAUCCGUAGUCAAAAGGGAAACAGCCCAGACCGCCAGCUAAGGUCCCAAAGUGUGUAUUAAGUGGAAAAGGAUGUGGAGUUGCUUAGACAACUAGGAUGUUGGCUUAGAAGCAGCCACCAUUUAAAGAGUGCGUAAUAGCUCACUAGUCGAGUGACUCUGCGCCGAAAAUGUACCGGGGCUAAAUACACCACCGAAGCUGCGGAUUGAUACCAAUGGUAUCAGUGGUAGGGGAGCGUUCUAAGGACAGUGAAGUCAGACCGGAAGGACUGGUGGAGUGCUUAGAAGUGAGAAUGCCGGUAUGAGUAGCGAAAGACGGGUGAGAAUCCCGUCCACCGAAUGCCUAAGGUUUCCUGAGGAAGGCUCGUCCGCUCAGGGUUAGUCAGGACCUAAGCCGAGGCCGACAGGCGUAGGCGAUGGACAACAGGUUGAUAUUCCUGUACCACCUCUUUAUCGUUUGAGCAAUGGAGGGACGCAGAAGGAUAGAAGAAGCGUGCGAUUGGUUGUGCACGUCCAAGCAGUUAGGCUGAUAAGUAGGCAAAUCCGCUUAUCGUAAAGGCUGAGCUGUGAUGGGGAAGCUCCUUAUGGAGCGAAGUCUUUGAUUCCCCGCUGCCAAGAAAAGCUUCUAGCGAGAUAAAAGGUGCCUGUACCGCAAACCGACACAGGUAGGCGAGGAGAGAAUCCUAAGGUGUGCGAGAGAACUCUGGUUAAGGAACUCGGCAAAAUGACCCCGUAACUUCGGGAGAAGGGGUGCUUUCUUAACGGAAAGCCGCAGUGAAUAGGCCCAAGCGACUGUUUAGCAAAAACACAGCUCUCUGCGAAGCCGUAAGGCGAAGUAUAGGGGGUGACACCUGCCCGGUGCUGGAAGGUUAAGGAGAGGGGUUAGCGUAAGCGAAGCUCUGAACUGAAGCCCCAGUAAACGGCGGCCGUAACUAUAACGGUCCUAAGGUAGCGAAAUUCCUUGUCGGGUAAGUUCCGACCCGCACGAAAGGUGUAACGAUUUGGGCACUGUCUCAACCAGAGACUCGGUGAAAUUAUAGUACCUGUGAAGAUGCAGGUUACCCGCGACAGGACGGAAAGACCCCGUGGAGCUUUACUGUAGCCUGAUAUUGAAUUUUGGUACAGUUUGUACAGGAUAGGCGGGAGCCUUUGAAACCGGAGCGCUAGCUUCGGUGGAGGCGCUGGUGGGAUACCGCCCUGACUGUAUUGAAAUUCUAACCUACGGGUCUUAUCGACCCGGGAGACAGUGUCAGGUGGGCAGUUUGACUGGGGCGGUCGCCUCCUAAAGUGUAACGGAGGCGCCCAAAGGUUCCCUCAGAAUGGUUGGAAAUCAUUCGUAGAGUGCAAAGGCAUAAGGGAGCUUGACUGCGAGACCUACAAGUCGAGCAGGGACGAAAGUCGGGCUUAGUGAUCCGGUGGUUCCGCAUGGAAGGGCCAUCGCUCAACGGAUAAAAGCUACCCCGGGGAUAACAGGCUUAUCUCCCCCAAGAGUCCACAUCGACGGGGAGGUUUGGCACCUCGAUGUCGGCUCAUCGCAUCCUGGGGCUGUAGUCGGUCCCAAGGGUUGGGCUGUUCGCCCAUUAAAGCGGUACGCGAGCUGGGUUCAGAACGUCGUGAGACAGUUCGGUCCCUAUCCGUCGUGGGCGUAGGAAAUUUGAGAGGAGCUGUCCUUAGUACGAGAGGACCGGGAUGGACGCACCGCUGGUGUACCAGUUGUUCUGCCAAGGGCAUAGCUGGGUAGCUAUGUGCGGAAGGGAUAAGUGCUGAAAGCAUCUAAGCAUGAAGCCCCCCCUCAAGAUGAGAUUUCCCAUAGCGUAAGCUAGUAAGAUCCCUGAAAGAUGAUCAGGUUGAUAGGUUCGAGGUGGAAGCAUGGUGACAUGUGGAGCUGACGAAUACUAAUAGAUCGAGGACUUAACCA